ACCCCAUUAAGAUUUAGUCCUCUUUUCUUUCAUACACCUCUUUUGGAAUCAAGAUAGAGUCAGCAAAGCUCAAAAGAAAAGUGUCGAGCAAAAUAAUAGAGUCAGAAAAAUUUCAAAAACAAUAAAAGAGAAGAAAAAGAAAAUAUGUCCAAAAAGAAAGAAAAGAAAAGAGUGUCGAGAAAAAUAGAGUCAGAAAGUUUCAAAGAGAAAAAGAGUCAAUAAAAAAAAUAAAAAAAUCAAAAUCAAGCAAAAGAACAAGCUGCCAG
This 266-nucleotide long non-coding RNA is filed under the name Capsicum annuum. RNAcentral's name for it is "long non-coding RNA (CANN_LNC014907)". The record is from RNAcentral. Lineage: Eukaryota; Viridiplantae; Streptophyta; Magnoliopsida; Solanales; Solanaceae.